Molecule: signal recognition particle RNA, 298 nt
Filed under: Aotus nancymaae (Ma's night monkey)
Lineage: Eukaryota; Metazoa; Chordata; Mammalia; Primates; Aotidae
Description: Metazoan signal recognition particle RNA (ENSANAG00000002116.1)
Rfam family: Metazoan signal recognition particle RNA
About the family: The signal recognition particle (SRP) is a universally conserved ribonucleoprotein. It is involved in the co-translational targeting of proteins to membranes. The eukaryotic SRP consists of a 300-nucleotide 7S RNA and six proteins: SRPs 72, 68, 54, 19, 14, and 9.
Source: Rfam by way of RNAcentral
GCCUGGCGUGGUGGUGCAUGCCUGUAGUCCCAGCCACUCAGGAGGCUGAGGUGGGAGGAUCGCUUGAACCCAGGAGUUCUGGGCUGUAGUGCACUAUGCUGAUUGACGUCCGUAUUAAGUUCGGCAUCAAUAUGGUGACCUCCCAGAGAGGGGGACCACCAGGUUACCUAAGGAGGGGUGAACCAGCCCAGGUCGGAAAUGGAGCAAGUCAAAACUCCCGUGCUGAUCAGUAGUGGGAUCGCACUUGUGAAUAGCCACUGCACUCCAGCCUGGGCAACAUAGAAAGACCCCUGUCUCU